GACCGCGCAGCUCAGUUAGCAGAGCAUUGGGUUAGUAUUCCAAAGGUCGUAGGUUCGAUUCCCACCGUGGUCA
RNAcentral lists this transfer RNA (73 nucleotides) under Paramuricea clavata. It matches the Rfam family "tRNA". From Rfam's summary of the family: Transfer RNA (tRNA) molecules are approximately 80 nucleotides in length. Their secondary structure includes four short double-helical elements and three loops (D, anti-codon, and T loops). Further hydrogen bonds mediate the characteristic L-shaped molecular structure. tRNAs have two regions of fundamental functional importance: the anti-codon, which is responsible for specific mRNA codon recognition, and the 3' end, to which the tRNAs corresponding amino acid is attached (by aminoacyl-tRNA synthetases). tRNAs cope with the degeneracy of the genetic code in two manners: having more than one tRNA (with a specific anti-codon) for a particular amino acid; and 'wobble' base-pairing, i.e. permitting non-standard base-pairing at the 3rd anti-codon position. Lineage: Eukaryota; Metazoa; Cnidaria; Anthozoa; Malacalcyonacea; Plexauridae. The record is from Rfam by way of RNAcentral.